This 505-nucleotide ribosomal RNA is filed under the name uncultured bacterium. RNAcentral describes it as "partial 16S ribosomal RNA". It matches the Rfam family "Bacterial small subunit ribosomal RNA", at positions 28 to 507 of the family's 1533-position model. The record is from RNAcentral.
GACGAACGCUGGCGGCGUGCCUAAUACAUGCAAGUAGAACGCACAGUUUAUACCGUAGCUUGCUACACCAUAGACUGUGAGUUGCGAACGGGUGAGUAACGCGUAGGUAACCUGCCUGGUAGCGGGGGAUAACUAUUGGAAACGAUAGCUAAUACCGCAUAAUAUUGAUUAUUGCAUGAUAAUUAAUUGAAAGGUGCAAUUGCACCACUACCAGAUGGACCUGCGUUGUAUUAGCUAGUAGGUGAGGUAACGGCUCACCUAGGCGACGAUACAUAGCCGACCUGGGGGGGUGAUCGGCCACACGGGGACGAAGACAGGGCACAGACUCCUACAGGAGGAGGCAGUAGGGAAUCUUCGGCAAUGGACGAAAGUAUGACGGAGCAACGAGGAGUGAGUGAAGAGGGUGUUGGGAUCGUAAAGCUCUGUUGUAAGGGAAGAACGGGUGUGAGAGUGGAAAGUUCACACUGUGACGGUAGCUUAACAGAAAGGAGCGGCUACCUACGUG